GACGAACGCUGGCGGCGUGCCUAAUACAUGCAAGUUGAGCGCUGAAGGUUGGUACUUGUACCCACUGGAUGAGCAGCGAACGGGUGAGUAACGCGUGGGGAAUCUGCCUUUGAGCGGGGGACAACAUUUGGAAACGAAUGCUAAUACCGCAUAAAAACUUUAAACACAAGUUUUAAGUUUGAAAGAUGCAAUUGCCUCACUCAAAGAUGAUCCCGCGUUGUAUUAGCUAGUUGGUGAGGUAAAGGCUCACCAAGGCGAUGAUACAUAGCCGACCUGAGAGGGUGAUCGGCCACAUUGGGACGGAGACACGGCCCAAACGCCUACGGGAGGCAGCAGUAGGGAAUCUUCGGCAAUGGACGAAAGUCUGACCGAGCAACGCCGCGUGAGUGAAGAAGGGUUUCGGAUCGUAAAACUCUGUUGGUAGAGAAGAACGUUGGUGAGAGUGGAAAGCUCAUCAAGUGACGGUAACUACCCAGAAAGGGACGGCUAACUACGUG
This 497-nucleotide ribosomal RNA is filed under the name uncultured bacterium. RNAcentral's name for it is "partial 16S ribosomal RNA". It matches the Rfam family "Bacterial small subunit ribosomal RNA", at positions 28 to 507 of the family's 1533-position model. The record is from RNAcentral.